AGAGUUUGAUCCUGGCUCAGAUUGAACGCUGGCGGCACGCUUAACACAUGCAAGUCGAGCGGUAACAUGAUAAGUGCUUGCACUUAUUGAUGACGAGCGGCGGACGGGUGAGUAACACGUAGGAACUUGCCCAAUAGAGGGGGAUAACUAGCGGAAACGCUAGCUAAUACCGCAUAUACUCGCGAGAGGAAAGCUGCCAGCAAUGGUGGCGCUAUUGGAGAGGCCUGCGUCCGAUUAGCUAGUUGGUAGGGUAAGAGCCUACCAAGGCGAGGAUCGGUAACUGGUCUGAGAGGACGACCAGUCACACUGGGACUGAGACACGGCCCAGACUCCUACGGGAGGCAGCAGUGGGGAAUCUUGGACAAUGGGGGCAACCCUGAUCCAGCGAUGCCGCGUGAGUGAAGAAGGCCUUCGGGUCGUAAAGCUCUUUAGGUCGGGAGGAAGCUUGGUAGUUUAAGAAAUAAUCAAGUUGACUGUACCGACGGAAUAAGCACCGGCAAACUCUGUGCCAGCAGCCGCGGUAAUACAGAGGGUGCGAGCGUUAAUCGGAUUUACUGGGCGUAAAGGGCGCGUAGGUGGUUAUAUGAGUGUGAUGUGAAAGCCCCGGGCUUAACCUGGGAAGUGCAUCGCAAACGAUAUAACUGGAGUAGAUGAGAGGGUGGUGGAAUUUCCGGUGUAGCGGUGAAAUGCGUAGAUAUCG
This 700-nucleotide ribosomal RNA is filed under the name uncultured bacterium. Its description in RNAcentral is "bacterial SSU rRNA". It matches the Rfam family "Bacterial small subunit ribosomal RNA", at positions 8 to 699 of the family's 1533-position model. The record is from RNAcentral.